UAGUGAAAGAAGAGUCUGAGUCUAAGUCUAGUGAUUGUAAAACCAAUUUAAGUAAUAAUCAGCUGUGUUCCCUAAAAAUGUCAGUUCCUGUAGUCUGCAAGAUUCCUGUUGAGAGGAGUUACUGCUUGAGAAGCAUGACAGAGAAAUCUGGGUCUUUGCUUUCAGUGGGAUUUUUUUUUCUUAUAAUCUGCCACGUCAACACUGAGGACACAAGAGAAAACUCAGAGUUUGGAAGGAAGAGUUAGCAUUUUGGCAAGUGCAUGUGAGUCUUGCUAUCUAUUGUGUCAUGAGACACUAACAGCAACAUAAUCUGAAAAACAAAACAAAAAAAUUGAAUUUUCUCUGCUGUGUUUCCAAAUGAUUCAGGUUGCAGUUGCUGAUGGUGUUAAUAGGUUAGUUAUUUUCCACACUAAGAUCUUUAAUAAUCUGCAUUAGGCUCCAGGAGAUGAACUCAACCUGAUGUGAUAGAAAUUUUUAUAUAGAAAACAGCUAUGAAACCACAGUCUAUGCACUUUAUGGGAAAUGAGCCUUAUAAACAAAGGGAGGCAGUGGAGCAAAGGGAUUGAAUUUAUUUUUCUGUGCUGUAAUUUGCCAGACUGCAUCAGUUCAGCUUGUCUCAAGUCAUUGCACUGAGACAAGUAAAUAGGUAAGUAAAGAGAGAAAACUUGCAGAUACAUUAGUCUUUCUGAAGAAAUGUAAGCGAUUCUACCUUGAAAGUGGGACUGUACAUCAGUAAAGAGAAUCACUAUGAUCAAAAGUUUUCCGAGAUUUUCAGACCACAUGAUCCAAGUACCUUCUGUUUUCAGAUGAUUCAUCUUAAUACUUGAGGAUUAUUUUUUGACAUCUCAGCGCUCCAGAGCUGCAGCUUUUCACUGCAGUGCAGAGAGGCUGCUCCAGCUGGCUCCCUACCAGAGGGGGAAAAAGGAACAGGAGACAUACAAAUUGGAGUGAAGACUAAAAACAAUGCCCCGUCAUGGUGCUGUUCCACAGAGACUAGAACCUCUAGGGAAGAUUGCUUACGCUUACAAAUGAGACUGCUUUAAAAUGGACAAUGCCCUUUCUGCCCUGCCAGCAGCAUACAGAUGGAAUAACUGGACCUGGCUUCAGGAAUCUGUGUUUCUCCUGCAAGAGUUGAUGGCAUCACUGACAUCUAAAGCAGUGGUUCUCAACCAGAAAGUACACAUAAUCCUGGGGGUAUGCAGAGGUCUUCCAGGGGGUACUGUGAUGGGUUGGAUCACAGAAACCCCUUUGGGGCUGCCAACUGAUGUGCCAAGACUACUUCUGCCUCUGCUUUCCCUGCCAGCAUGGGACUCCAGAACCCUGCCUGGUUGUGCCAGACAUGCUUGCUGGCUACAAACACAGACCCAGGUCUGAACAACGUCUCACAAGGUGCAGGCUUAACUGAAAACAGCUUAAGAAGUGUUCCUGUCUCCACCACUCAGAUGCCCAACUCCCAAUGUGGUCCAAACCCCAAAUAAAUCCGUUUUACCCUAUAUAAAGCUUAUACAGGGUAAACUCAUAAAUUGUUUGCCCUCUAUAACACUGAUAGAGAGAGAUGCACAGCUGAUCUCCUCCCCCAGGUAUUAAUACAUACUCUGGGUUAAUGAAUAAGUAAAAAGUGAUUUUAUUAAAUACAAAAAGUAGGAUUUAAGUGGUUCCAAGUAAUAACAGACAGAACAAAGUGAAUUACCAAGCAAAAUAAAAUAAAACACACAAGCCUAUGCCUAAUACAGUAAGAAACUGAAUACAGAUAAAAUCUCACCCUCAGAGAUGUUCCAAUAAGCCUCUUUUACAGACUAGCCUUCUUCUAGUCUGGGUUCAGCAAUCACUCACACCCGUGUGGUUACUGUCCUUUGUUCCAGUUUCUUUUAGGUAUCCUUUGGGGAUGGAGAGGCUAUCUCUUGAGCCAACUGAAGACAAAAUGGAGGGGUCUCCCAGACAUUUAAAUAGACUUUCUCUUGUGGGUAGACACCCCUCCGUGUAGAAUCCCAGCUACAAGAUGGAGUUUGAGAGUCACAUGGGUGGCAAAUCUGUGGAAUGGUCCCAGACUGAGGAGUCAAUAGAGGAGGUAAAUUAAAUAGCAGCAAGUCACCAGGACCAGAUGGCAUUUACCCAAGAGUUUUGAAGGAACUCUUAUAUGAAUUUGCAGAACUACUAAUUGUGGUAUGUUUCAGAGUAGCAGCCAUGUUAGUCUGUAUUCGCAAAAAGAAAAGGAGUCCUUGUGGCACCUUAGAGACUAACAAAUUUAUUUGAGCAUAAGCUUUCGUGAGCUACAGCUCACUUCAUCGAAUGCAUUCAGUGGAAAAUACAGUGUGGAGAUUUAUAUACAUAGAGAACAUGAAACAAUGGGUGUUACCAUACACACUGUAACAAGAGAGUGAUCACUUAAGGGGAGCUAUUACCAGUAGGAGAGCUGGGGGGGAUGACGACGACGACGAACCUUUUGUAGUGAUAAUCAAGGUGGGCCAUUUCCAGCAGUUGACAAGAACGUCUGAGGAACAGUGGGGAGUGGAG
Molecule: long non-coding RNA, 2514 nt
Organism: Caretta caretta (loggerhead turtle)
Lineage: Eukaryota; Metazoa; Chordata; Testudines; Cheloniidae
Source: RefSeq, a predicted model, not a curated record